CAAAACACCAAUUCCCAUAUCACUGAAGUUAAGCAACAUUGUACCUCAUCAGUAUCUAGAUGGGUGACCACUUGGGAAUACCAGGUGCUGUAA
Non-coding RNA from Acanthosepion pharaonis, 93 nucleotides. The record is from the annotation of a GenBank genome assembly. Lineage: Eukaryota; Metazoa; Mollusca; Cephalopoda; Sepiida; Sepiidae.